AGUCCCAACUACUCUGUAGGCUGAGGCAGGAGGAUUUCUUGAGCCUGGGAGGUCAAAGUUACAGUGAGCCGUGAUCAUGCCACUGCACUUCAGCCUGAGUGACAGAACAAGACCGUCUCAAAAACAACAACAACAACAACAACAACAAAGCCGGGCGCAGUGGCUCAUGUCUGUGAUCCCAGCACUUUGAGAGACCAAGGCAGGAGGAUCCCUUGAAGCCAAGAGUUUGAGACCAGCCUGGGCAACAGAAGUCAGAAUGAGUAUAUUGCUAACCUCAAGGACCAACUGCAAGAGAUGAAGGCAAAAUCCAACUUGGAGAAUCGCUACAUGAAAACCAAUACCGAGCUGCAGAUUGCCCAGACCCAGAAAAAGUGUAACAGAACAGAGGAACUCUUGGUGGAAGAGAUUGAGUAAGAAAUACAGCAUCGAGAGCGCUGAACUUCGUUCAAACCUGAGUUUAUAGGAUGAGAAGUCACGGUGAAAAAUGCCAGGAGGAAGAAAGAAGUGGUAGAUCUUCUUUGAGGGGAAUGCUAAAUGGCACACACGCACGCACGCA
Molecule: long non-coding RNA, 556 nt
Filed under: Homo sapiens (human)
Lineage: Eukaryota; Metazoa; Chordata; Mammalia; Primates; Hominidae
Description: non-protein coding lnc-RUBCN-12:1
Source: RNAcentral